CAAGGUGGCAAUAGCGCGAGGGCUCCACCUCUUCCCAUUCCGAACAGAGAAGUUAAACCUCGCCACGCCGAUGAUACUGCGAAAGUGGGAAAGUAGGUAACCGCCCCCU
This 109-nucleotide ribosomal RNA is filed under the name Muribaculaceae bacterium. The record is from RNAcentral. Lineage: Bacteria; Pseudomonadati; Bacteroidota; Bacteroidia; Bacteroidales; Muribaculaceae.